CAGGGAAUAGUUUAAUUUUAAAAUGUUAACUUUGGAGGUUAAUGAUAAGUUUUUUCUUUUCUCUGA
This 66-nucleotide transfer RNA is filed under the name Comatermes perfectus. RNAcentral describes it as "tRNA-Pro". Lineage: Eukaryota; Metazoa; Arthropoda; Insecta; Blattodea; Kalotermitidae. The record is from RNAcentral.